This 77-nucleotide transfer RNA is filed under the name Chryseobacterium sp. SCN 40-13. RNAcentral describes it as "tRNA-Arg". It matches the Rfam family "tRNA". From Rfam's summary of the family: Transfer RNA (tRNA) molecules are approximately 80 nucleotides in length. The record is from RNAcentral. Lineage: Bacteria; Pseudomonadati; Bacteroidota; Flavobacteriia; Flavobacteriales; Weeksellaceae. RNAcentral also lists the same sequence under 1 other name.
GGACGCGUAGCUCAAUUGGAUAGAGCGUCAGAUUACGGCUCUGAAGGUUGAGGGUUCGACUCCUUCCGCGUUCACCA